Molecule: ribosomal RNA, 433 nt
Filed under: uncultured bacterium
Lineage: Bacteria
Description: partial 16S ribosomal RNA
Rfam family: Bacterial small subunit ribosomal RNA
Source: RNAcentral
AACGAACGCUGGCGGCAGGCCUAACACAUGCAAGUCGAACGAAGUCUUCGGACUUAGUGGCGCACGGGUGAGUAACACGUGGGAAUAUACCUUACGCUGGGGGAUAACAUCGGGAAACUGAUGCUAAUACCGCAUACGCCCUUCGGGGGAAAGAUUUAUCGGCGAAAGAUUAGCCCGCGUCCGAUUAGCUAGUUGGUGAGGUAAUGGCUCACCAAGGCUCCGAUCGGUAGCUGGUCUGAGAGGAUGACCAGCCACACUGGGACUGAGACACGGCCCAGACUCCUACGGGAGGCAGCAGUGGGGAAUAUUGGACAAUGGGCGCGAGCCUGAUCCAGCCAUGCCGCGUGAGUGAUGAAGGCCUUAGGGUUGUAAAGCUCUUUCAACCACGACGAUGAUGACGGUAGUGAGAGAAGAAGCCCCGGCUAACUUCGUG